Molecule: ribosomal RNA, 414 nt
Filed under: uncultured microorganism
Description: bacterial SSU rRNA
Rfam family: Archaeal small subunit ribosomal RNA
Source: RNAcentral
CAGCAGCCGCAGUAAUACCGGCGGCCCGAGUGGCGGUCACUAUUAUUGGGCUUAAAGCGUCCGUAGCCGGGUUGGGAAGUCCUCCGGGAAAUCUGGCCGCUUAACGGUCAGAAUGCCGGAGGAUACUCCCAGCCUAGGGAGCGGGAGAGGCCGAGGGUAUUCCCGGGGUAGGGGUGAAAUCCUAUAAUCCCGGGAGGGCCACCUGUGGCGAAGGCGCUCGGCUGGAACGCGUCCGACGGUGAGGGACGAAGGCCAGGGGAGCAAACCGGAUUAGAUACCCGGGUAGUCCUGGCUGUAAACGAUGCGGACUUUGUGUCGGACAAGCUAUGAGCUUGUCCGGUGCCGGAGGGAAACCGUUAAGUCCGCCGCCUGGGGAGUACGGCCGCAAGGCUGAAACUUAAAGGAAUUGGCGGG